GGAUCGUACGAUGAGUGCUAGUGUUAGGGGGUUUCCGCCCCUUAGUGCUGCAGCUAACGCAUUAAGCACUCCGCCUGGGGAGUACGGCCGCAAGGCUGAAACUCAAAGGAAUUGACGGGGGCCCGCACAAGCGGUGGAGCAUGUGGUUUAAUUCGAAGCAACGCGAAGAACCUUACCAGGUCUUGACAUCCCGCUGCCCGCCUUGGAGACAAGGCUUUCCCUUCGGGGACAGCGGUGACAGGUGGUGCAUGGUUGUCGUCAGCUCGUGUCGUGAGAUGUUGGGUUAAGUCCCGCAACGAGCGCAACCCUUGAUCUUAGUUGCCAGCAUUCAGUUGGGCACUCUAAGGUGACUGCCGGUGACAAACCGGAGGAAGGUGGGGAUGACGUCAAAUCAUCAUGCCCCUUAUGACCUGGGCUACACACGUGCUACAAUGGACGGUACAAAGGGUUGCCAACCCGCGAGGGGGAGCCAAUCCCAGAAAACCGUUCUCAGUUCGGAUUGCAGGCUGCAACUCGCCUGCAUGAAGCCGGAAUCGCUAGUAAUCGUGGAUCAGCAUGCCACGGUGAAUACGUUCCCGGGCCUUGUACACACCGCCCGUCACACCACGAGAGUUUGUAACACCCGAAGUCGGUGAGGUAACCCUUGUGGAGCCAGCCGCCGAAGGUGGGACAGAUGAUUGGGGUGAAGUCGUAAAAGGGUUAACCAA
This 707-nucleotide ribosomal RNA is filed under the name Planomicrobium sp. Its description in RNAcentral is "bacterial SSU rRNA". It matches the Rfam family "Bacterial small subunit ribosomal RNA", at positions 799 to 1504 of the family's 1533-position model. The record is from RNAcentral. Lineage: Bacteria; Bacillati; Bacillota; Bacilli; Caryophanales; Caryophanaceae.